AAAGAAACCAACAGGGAUUGCCCCAGUAACGGCGAGUGAAGCGGCAACAGCUCAAAUUUGAAAUCUGGCCCCCAGGGUCCGAGUUGUAAUUUGCAGAGGAUGCUUUUGGCGAGGCGCCGCCCGAGUUCCCUGGAACGGGACGCCACAGAGGGUGAGAGCCCCGUCUGGCUGGCCGCCGAGCCUCUGUAAAGCUCCUUCGACGAGUCGAGUAGUUUGGGAAUGCUGCUCAAAAUGGGAGGUAUAUGUCUUCUAAAGCUAAAUAUUGGCCAGAGACCGAUAGCGCACAAGUAGAGUGAUCGAAAGAUGAAAAGCACCUUGAAAAGAGGGUUAAAUAGUACGUGAAAUUGUUGAAAGGGAAGCGCUUGUGACCAGACUUGGGCGCGGCGGAUCAUCCGGGGUUCUCCCCGGUGCACUUCGCCGCGUCCAGGCCAGCAUCAGUUCGUCGCGGGGGAAAAAGGCUUCGGGAACGUGGCUCCCCUGGGAGUGUUAUAGCCCGUUGCACAAUACCCUGCGGUGGACUGAGGACCGCGCAUCUGCAAGGAUGCUGGCGUAAUGGUCACCAGCGACCCGUCUUGAAACACGGACCAAGGAGUCGUCUUCGUAUGCGAGUGUUCGGGUGUCAAACCCCUACGCGUAAUGAAAGUGAACGCAGGUGAGAGCUUCGGCGCAUCAUCGACCGAUCCUGAUGUUCUCGGAUGGAUUUGAGUAAGAGCAUACGGGGCCGGACCCGAAAGAAGGUGAACUAUGCCUGUAUAGGGUGAAGCCAGAGGAAACUCUGGUGGAGGCUCGCAGCGGUUCUGACGUGCAAAUCGAUCGUCAAAUAUGGGCAUGGGGGCGAAAGACUAAUCGAACCUUCUAGUAGCUGGUUUCCGCCGAAGUUUCCCUCAGGAUAGCAGUGUUGAACUCAGUUUUAUGAGGUAAAGCGAAUGAUUAGGGACCCGGGGGCGCUAUAUUGCCUUCAUCCAUUCUCAAACUUUAAAUAUGUAAGAAGCCCUUGUUGCUUAAUUGAACGUGGGCAUUCGAAUGUAUCAAC
RNAcentral lists this ribosomal RNA (1033 nucleotides) under Trichoderma citrinoviride. RNAcentral describes it as "LSU rRNA". It matches the Rfam family "Eukaryotic large subunit ribosomal RNA", at positions 58 to 1121 of the family's 3401-position model. Lineage: Eukaryota; Fungi; Ascomycota; Sordariomycetes; Hypocreales; Hypocreaceae. The record is from RNAcentral.